Small nucleolar RNA from Callorhinchus milii (elephant shark), 73 nucleotides. RefSeq annotates it as small nucleolar RNA SNORD47. Lineage: Eukaryota; Metazoa; Chordata; Chondrichthyes; Chimaeriformes; Callorhinchidae. The transcript has a single exon. The record is from RefSeq and is a predicted model, not a curated record.
AACCAAUGAUGACAGUGAUUCUGCCAUAUGAGUCCGAAUGAUUCUACAGAAAGUUCCAUUUUAUACUGAGGUU